ACUGAGCGGCGGACGGGUGAGUAACGCGUGGGUAACCUGCCUUAUACAGGGGGAUAACAGUUAGAAAUGACUGCUAAUACCGCAUAAGCGCACAGUACCGCAUGGUAGUGUGUGAAAAACUCCGGUGGUAUAAGAUGGACCCGCGUCUGAUUAGCCAGUUGGCGGGGUAACGGCCCACCAAAGCGACGAUCAGUAGCCGACCUGAGAGGGUGACCGGCCACAUUGGGACUGAGACACGGCCCAAACUCCUACGGGAGGCAGCAG
RNAcentral lists this ribosomal RNA (264 nucleotides) under uncultured bacterium. RNAcentral describes it as "partial 16S ribosomal RNA". It matches the Rfam family "Bacterial small subunit ribosomal RNA", at positions 90 to 354 of the family's 1533-position model. The record is from RNAcentral.